Molecule: long non-coding RNA, 197 nt
Organism: Empidonax traillii (willow flycatcher)
Lineage: Eukaryota; Metazoa; Chordata; Aves; Passeriformes; Tyrannidae
Exons: 2
Source: RefSeq, a predicted model, not a curated record
AGGACUUCAAGGGUGUCGCCCCUCCUGCGCUGUCGCCCCCCCUGGGCCCCUGUGCCCUGGGCCCCCGGUACUGGUGCUCCGGCCCCGAGCCCGCCCGGCGCUGCCAGGCCCUGCAGCACUGCCAGGAGCACGUCUGGCUGUAGGGGGGCACUGGGGGCCCCCUCAGCACUUCCCAAUAAAGCUUGGAUGCAGUUCUG